RNAcentral lists this ribosomal RNA (583 nucleotides) under uncultured bacterium. RNAcentral describes it as "bacterial SSU rRNA". It matches the Rfam family "Bacterial small subunit ribosomal RNA", at positions 102 to 664 of the family's 1533-position model. The record is from RNAcentral.
ACGGGUGAGUAACGCGUGGGUAACCUGCCCUUAUAACGGGGAUAACUUGCCGAAAGGUGAGCUAAUACCGGAUGACCUAUUAAGGUUGCAUGAUCUUGAUAGCAAAGGUGGCCUCUUCUAAGCUACCGUAUAAGGAUGGACCCGCGUCUGAUUAGCUAGUUGGUGGGGUAACGGCCUACCAAGGCGACGAUCAGUAGCCGGCCUGAGAGGGUGAACGGCCACACUGGGACUGAGGCACGGCCCAGACUCCUACGGGAGGCAGCAGUGGGGAAUCUUCCGCAAUGGACGAAAGUCUGACGGAGCAACGCCGCGUGAGUGACGAAGGUCUUCGGAUUGUAAAACUCUGUUUUUUGGGACGAACGGCUCAUAUGUGAAUAAUGUAUGGGAUUGACGGUACCAAAGGAGGAAGCCCCGGCUAACUACGUGCCAGCAGCCGCGGUAAUACGUAGGGGGCGAGCGUUGUCCGGAAUUAUUGGGCGUAAAGAGCGCGCAGGCGGUUUGUUAAGUCUACCGUGAAAGCUUACGGCUCAACCGUAACGGGUCGGUGGAUACUGGCAGACUUGAGGGCAGGAGAGGAAAGUGG